GGCUCAGGACGAACGCUGGCGGCGCGCCUAAUACAUGCAAGUCGAGCGAGAAGGUGUAGCAAUACACUUGUAAAGCGGCGAACGGGUGAGGAAUGCAUGGGUAACCUACCCUCGAGUGGGGAAUAACUAGCCGAAAGGUUAGCUAAUACCGCAUACGUUUCCGGGACUUCGGUUCCGGAAGGAAAGCAAUACCGUGGGUAUUGCGCUCAUGGAUGGGCUCAUGUCCUAUCAGCUUGUUGGUGAGGUAACGGCUCACCAAGGCUUCGACGGGUAGCUGGUCUGAGAGGACGAUCGGCCACACUGGCACUGCGACACGGGCCAGACUCCUACGGGAGGCAGCAGUAAGGAAUAUUGCGCAAUGGACGAAAGUCUGACGCAGCGACGCCGCGUGGGGGAUGAAGGUCUUCGGAUUGUAAACCCCUUUCGGGAGGGAAGAUGGAGUGGGUAACCACUUGGACGGUACCUCCAGAAGCAGCCACGGCUAACUUCGUGCCAGCAGCCGCGGUAAUACGAAGGUGGCAAGCGUUGUUCGGAUUCACUGGGCGUACAGGGAGCGUAGGCGGUUGGGUAAGUCCUCCGUGAAAUCUCCGGGCCUAACCCGGAAAGUGCAGAGGGGACUGCUCAGCUAGAGGAUGGGAGAGGAGCGCGGAAUUCCCGGUGUAGCGGUGAAAUGCGUAGAGA
RNAcentral lists this ribosomal RNA (681 nucleotides) under uncultured nitrite-oxidizing bacterium. RNAcentral's name for it is "bacterial SSU rRNA". It matches the Rfam family "Bacterial small subunit ribosomal RNA", at positions 21 to 696 of the family's 1533-position model. The record is from RNAcentral.